Xiphophorus hellerii (green swordtail) is the source of this 423-nucleotide long non-coding RNA. RefSeq lists it as uncharacterized. NCBI's taxonomy places the organism in Eukaryota, Metazoa, Chordata, Actinopteri, Cyprinodontiformes, Poeciliidae. The record is from RefSeq and is a predicted model, not a curated record. The transcript is spliced from 3 exons.
AUGAAAAAAAGUUUGAGUUGAUAGUGAUACUGGUUAAAUUUAAUUCAGCUAUAAGUAUUUAAUAUCUAGGUGUUUUAUGGGAAUGUGGAUCUUUCAGAUCAAUUUGAGAAGCAAUUUUGAUAGGUACACUUAAUUUUAUGGUGUCAUGUAGCACUGGGUUUUGGUCUUGGUCUUGACUUGGUCUCAGAGAAGGUGGUCUUGAUUACAACACUGCUACGUGGCUCCUUGGUUGCAUGUCCUCCCCCACCCACGUUCUUUCCAUUGCCUUUCUGUUGGAUUUCUUUCAAAAAAAAUGCCACUAGUGGCAAAAAAAGUGAAGUUCAUGCUAUGUUAGGACAGGAGACAAGAUGUUUCCAUCCCUGAAAUUAUGAUGCAGAGAAUCACAUAACUAAGUCCAAACUAUGUUACAGAGAGUAAACCCAA